RNAcentral lists this ribosomal RNA (427 nucleotides) under uncultured bacterium. Its description in RNAcentral is "partial 16S ribosomal RNA". It matches the Rfam family "Bacterial small subunit ribosomal RNA", at positions 355 to 774 of the family's 1533-position model. The record is from RNAcentral.
UGGGGAAUAUUGGACAAUGGGCGAAAGCCUGAACCAGCCAUGCCGCGUGUGUGAAGAAGGUCUUCGGAUUGUAAAGCACUUUAAGUUGGGAGGAAGGGCAUUAACCUAAUACGUUAGUGUUUUGACGUUACCGACAGAAUAAGCACCGGCUAACUCUGUGCCAGCAGCCGCGGUAAUACAGAGGGUGCAAGCGUUAAUCGGAAUUACUGGGCGUAAAGCGCGCGUAGGUGGUUUGUUAAGUUGGAUGUGAAAUCCCCGGGCUCAACCUGGGAACUGCAUUCAAAACUGACUGACUAGAGUAUGGUAGAGGGUGGUGGAAUUUCCUGUGUAGCGGUGAAAUGCGUAGAUAUAGGAAGGAACACCAGUGGCGAAGGCGACCACCUGGACUAAUACUGACACUGAGGUGCGAAAGCGUGGGGAGCAAACA